CUACGUGCCAGCAGCCGCGGUAAUACGGAGGGUGCAAGCGUUAAUCGGAAUUACUGGGCGUAAAGCGCACGCAGGCGGUUUGUUAAGUCAGAUGUGAAAUCCCCGCGCUUAACGUGGGAACUGCAUUUGAAACUGGCAAGCUAGAGUCUUGUAGAGGGGGGUAGAAUUCCAGGUGUAGCGGUGAAAUGCGUAGAGAUCUGGAGGAAUACCGGUGGCGAAGGCGGCCCCCUGGACAAAGACUGACGCUCAGGUGCGAAAGCGUGGGGAGCAAACAGGAUUAAAUACCCUGGUAGUCCACGCUGUAAACGAUGUCGACUUGGAGGUUGUGCCCUUGAGGCGUGGCUUCCGGAGCUAACGCGUUAAGUCGACCGCCUGGGGAGUACGGCCGCAAGGUUAAAACUCAAAUGAAUUGACGGGGGCCCGCACAAGCGGUGGAGCAUGUGGUUUAAUUCGAUGCAACGCGAAGAACCUUACCUACUCUUGACAUCCAGAGAAUUCGCUAGAGAUAG
RNAcentral lists this ribosomal RNA (509 nucleotides) under uncultured bacterium. RNAcentral's name for it is "bacterial SSU rRNA". It matches the Rfam family "Bacterial small subunit ribosomal RNA", at positions 501 to 1009 of the family's 1533-position model. The record is from RNAcentral.